GCAGCAGCAGCAACAUUGCACGCCCGGUGGGUGCCCGAGGCCCCAGAGGAAAGCGAGAGGGCUGCCGGGGCAGCGCAGCGACUUGGCGUUGCCACGGCGCUCCUGUGCGCGUCCCUAGCAGCCGCCCGCCCACGUCAAGGUUUGUUUAAUAAUCGCUUGGGUAUUUAUGGCCUGGGCUCACGGAGGCCGCGGGGGAGCCAGGAGACCGCGCCGGGCAGCGGAUGAAGCGCGGCGGCUGUGGCCCAGGGCACCUCCCCCCGGCUUCCCGAACCCUGCCCGGUCCCACCCGAGGGGGAGGAUGGAAACAUCGGCCGCGCUCUGAGCCCCGCAGAAAGACAACAUCCUGCCCGCCUAAACACCCCGCGGUCCUGCGGAGGCCACCGACUUGUCCCCUCCACGUCUCCAUCUCCUACAUCCGGGCCGAGCGGAAAAGCGAGAGAUGGCGGAAAAUCUAAGGAAACUGAUCUCCAACGAAUCUUUACGAUCGAUGCACGACAACCUGGAGCGCUGGCUGAGGGAGUACAAUACAAACUCGUGUGAUCAAAACCUAAGUCUUUGCCUUGAAUUCAUCGAACAAGUUGCCAGGGUACAGGGACAACUCUUUGGAAUCCUCACUAUAACAGCUCAAGAAGGAGGACAUUAUGAUGGUGUGCAAGUAAUCAAAUCGCGCCUUCUGCCGUGGCUGGAGGCCUCCUUCACUGCUGCUUCCAUGGGAAAACCUGUUGACAGCAAGGUCCCCUCUCUGCAGGACACGUUUGAUAAGGAAAGACAGAAGGAGUCUGGUGCUCGGGAUCGGGACUUGCAGCAGUUAGACUCGGAGCUGAGCGAGACUCGCAGCCAACUCAACCAGGUUCAAGACGAUCUGGCUGAAAGCGCAAAGCCUCUUGAAGCAACCAAGAACAGAUCGGCCAUAUCCCUUUUGGCUGCAGAGGAGGAAAUAAAUCAGCUAAAAAAGCAGCUUAAAUCUCUUCAAGCCCAGGAGGAGUCCCGCCACAGAAAUGCAGCGAAUAGGAUCUCUGCGCGUAGGACUGCAGAGCUGCGCGCUGAGCCUAGGACCUCUGAGCAGAGAAGAACGAAGGAUCUCGGCUCGGACAAGCGCGGUUUGGACCGGUCAGACAGGCGCAUCUCGGACAGGUCGGACAGGCGCAUCUCGGAAAGGUCGGACAAGCGGGGCUCGGACAGCUCCGACAGGCGCAGCUCCGACAAGUCUGACUCAGAAGUGAUAUCUGAUUAUGAGAAACAGCUCCGAACGCUGAAGGACGAGAUCGCUGUUCUGUCUGCUGAAAAAUCUGUACUCCAAGGAAGGUCCACCAGGAGCCGGUCUCCAAGUCCUGUCCCUCGCAGCCGCAGCCACAGCCGCAGCCACAGCCGCAGCCGUACCCGCAGCCGCAGCCGCACCCGCAGCCGCAGCCGCAGCCCAAGCCGCAGUCGCAGCCGCAGCCGCAGCCGCAGCCGCAGCCACAGCCGGCCAGGCAGCCCCUCCACCGCAGUGGUAAAGGUCAGGACCCCGUCUCCAAAUCGCGCCAAACUAUCCAGUGCAGCGCGCAAGGCUGCCCUCGUGUCCCGGUUCAGCGAUGCCUACUCCCAGGCCCGCCUGGACGCGCAGUGCCUGCUGCGGCAAUGCAUCGACAAGGCCGAGACGGUGCAGCGGAUCAUCUACAUCGCCACAGUGGAGGCAUUCCAUGUAGCUAAAAUGGCGUUCAGACACUUCAAGAUCCGUGUGAGGAAAUCUUUGACACCAUCUUAUGUAGGGUCGAAUGAUUUUGAUGACGCCGUCUCGGAUUACAUCAUUUGCCACCUUGACCUAUAUGAUUCCCAAAGCAGUGUCAACGAUGUAAUCCGAGCCAUGAAUGUCAAUCCCAAGAUUUCGUUCCCUCCAGAAGUCGACUUUUGCCUCCUCAGUAACUUCAUCCAGGAGAUAUGCUGCAUCGCCUUUGCAAUGCAGACUUUAGAGCCGCCCCUAGAUAUCGCGUUUGGGGCCGAUGGAGAAGUUUUUAACGAUUCCAAGUACCGCCGCAGCUACGACUCCGAUUUCAGUGCUCCCUUGGUCUUCUAUCACGUGUGGCCUGCCCUCAUGGAGAAUGACAUUGUCAUUAUGAAGGGAGAAGCUGUCACCAGGAGAGGGGCUUUUGUACGGUGGCCUUGCAUAGUGACAAUUCAUCCCAAGUGUUUGAUUCACAAUGGAAUUCGGUGAGACCCGUGAGCCGAUGUCGAAGCCGGAGCUUAAGUCCCAUCUACCCCCGUAGCCAUAUUGGUUUAAGCACGCUGCCUCGAAGUCGGAGCCCUUCCCCGAUAAGAUGUGGAUUGCCAAGGUUUUAAAGCCACCAGACAGGUUCCUCUGCCACAGCACACUUGCGACAGCCCGACAGCCCGACAGCCCGCCUCCUGGCCCAUCUGCCUGCUGCGUCUGCCUCUCGCCUCGCUUAAGAUAAUGUGAAAAGGCAAUUCUGUGUACCACUCCACGCAGAGAGUUAAAUGCUUUGGCUUAACGCAUUUGUAACUUCAGAUAUAUUGCAUUUGAUUUUACUUUAUAGAUACAAAUUCCAUUAAUUUGAUAAAAGCCAUUGCCCAGGUGUUUAGGGUCACGUUCGUUCGAAGCAGAGUCCACCAGCCAAGCGCUAGGCCCUUUCAGGGCAACCGUGUGAACUACAAUGGGAAACGACCAUGCUGAGUCCGAAACUCGAGAGGAGAAAUUUUAGUUCACAAAUUGAUUGUAAACAUUACAAUUGAUGAUACCAUCAAUUAGUUUUAACGUGAAAAUGACAUGGGGUGUUUUAAUUGGCUCUUGUGGUGUGGAGGACAGCGCUAAUCUCGGGUUGGGAAUCUGUCGCAGUGAUGGUGACGUCAGGCUAAAUGGAGAUGAUGAUGAUGUAAGAGACUGUGGGUCAUCGGCUCGCUUCUGUUCUCCUCCUUGGAGCACCCGGUUGGUUUCGCUGAGUACUGCGUGUUGAAGCUGCCGAGGUGAGAGAAUUCUCUUGCUUCAUGAAUGUGGAGCAGUGGUUUGGGUAGAAGCCAGCGUUGAGAUAAAUGCUCAUUACCUUGCGUUUAUCUCUUGGGGAUGUUUCAUACAGUGUCAAUAUACUUGUUAUGAAUAAGAGUUAUCUGGAGCUGCCCUUUUACCUACUCCACCUACUUGUUUACAAAUUCGGGCCUCCUCUGACGUGCGUCUGCACAAAAACACCUGAACUCAAGGCCUAAAACUAGGGGCACCAUUUAUUGAUGUUUAAGUUGAGCACGUAUCCCUUCAUUUUCCUCACUGUCCUUGAACUCUUGUAAGUUCAAGAUAAUCAUGGAAUGUGGUUUUCUCAAGAUAAGUAGUAGUCUUUUUUGCUUUUUUUUUUUUUUAAACUUUGAAGCUGGCCUUAAACACGGCCUUACUAAGGACUGCUGUCCAUGUGCCUUUUUAGAAAACUCUGAGUGGCCAGAGCUCAGUUCGCAUCAGCUCUGUGCCAAAGCCGGCACCGGAGGCUUUUCAGGAGGAAAACCCCCCAAAUUUCUCUAAAACGUCUUGUCCCUAGAGACGAGGGAGAGGAGACUGCCUCAGUCCCUGCCCCUUGGGUCUAAUGGUCGCCAUGUCACUCUGAAGUGUGAAGUCGGUUUUCCCCUCCCUGUGUGUUUACGUAGUGACCACUCUGAGGCAAUGGCUGCAUUGUCAGGAGAACGGGGUGCCCGGGUAACCCCAGUCUCGGUUGGUUGUUAGCUUGCUUUGUGGCCUGAAGCAAAUGACUUCACCUCUCUGAGCCUUUGCUCACAGUAGAGAGAGAAGGCUGGGUGGAAUCAGUGGUUCUUCCGGCCCUCCCAGCGUCAGUGCCCCUUUCUUACACAGUUAUUUUAUUCUGGCUUUUCUGAAAUGAAACUCAAAAUGCAAAUAUUGAUUUAUAGUACAUACACCCUUUCAAACAAUGGAUAAGAGUACCCUCACUGUAAUACAAAGCAGAAAAAAUGAAAGUCACUGUUUAAUAAAAUAAAACGCAUUUUGAUAAAGAAGCUUGGGUGUAACCACCCUAGAAGACGAAAUCAAGUCACCGGAUGCCUUCGCCUGUGUGCAGAGUCACCUUCACUCACAGUGUUGUCGUGGGGGAUGAUUUCCUGAAAUGGUGGGUAGCUCUUGGUGACGUUUUGGACCAAAAUCUUACAGAUGGGCCCUCAUUUACACAGUAAAUGCAUUCCUGGAGUAGUCAGCGUAUAUUAAAACCGUGCAGCAAUUACUUUGCAUUGUAUGGUGAAAGGUCAUUUCUCAAGUCUCACUAAGUAAAGAGAAUGCUUACAUAUGAGAUUUUCUUCCUUUUUUCUUUUUUUUUUUUUAUUUGAAUGUGGAAAUGCAUAGCCUGAUUUGGGAAAAGGUCACCUGUAUUCAGUUUAUUUGCUCUGCACCCUGUCUGGCCACGAGCUGUUUCUCAAGUCUCUGAUUUGAACUGUAACCACAGCAGGGAGUGGUGAGUGCUCUAGAAUAACUUUCAGAAAGAAUCCACAAAAACAAAGGAGACUGCCUGUACUCAUUUCACCCAGGUAUGCACCUUAAUCUUAGUGACUUUGAAGAAUGAAAAGCUCUUACUUCACAAUCUGGGUAAAUUAUGGCUUCUGUAUUAUCGGUUUAAUAUCAAAUAAUAA
This is an RNA transcript of Phyllostomus hastatus (greater spear-nosed bat), 4611 nucleotides long. It is a transcript of the gene named spermatogenesis associated 18, with no coding region annotated. Lineage: Eukaryota; Metazoa; Chordata; Mammalia; Chiroptera; Phyllostomidae. The record is from RefSeq and is a predicted model, not a curated record. The transcript has 13 exons.